AACAGUUCCUGGCUGACUGCAGUCAACAAGUCCUCCCCAGCUGCCGGUGUCCUGGCGGAUCUUGGUUUGAGCAGUGACCUUUAUUUUCUGUAUUCACCCAGGUUGCCAGUUAGCGUGCGAUCGUAGCAGCUGAAGAUUCGAGUGAUGAGUGGCCUGCCUUGAGGGGUGCCUGAAUUGCCCCAGGUUUUGAGUGCUGGGUUGUCGAAAAUCAGCGAUCAGCAGUGUGGAGUUGAAGCCGGUGGUGCCACAGCUCAGCCCAAGUAGAGGCUAUCUUCCAGAGAAUGGUCAGCCAUGCGAGGACCAGUGACCACCAUCAGCUUGGACUGAAAACCUAGACUUCAGUAGUUGGUGUGGAAACAGUACUUACCUGAGGCUGAGAUUCAGAGCCCAUUCCGUUACCAGCAGUAGAACCAACAAAUGUGUUUUUGUCACUGUUGGUUUUCUAGUGUUACAAAGAUAUUUCUAGUUCUCCCUUGCCCAAAGAGCUUUCUGCACUUUUUAAUUUUGUAUAAAUUCUGUUGGGUGAGGGUCUGAGUUCUUAAGCUUAAAGCUUAUUUCUUCCUGAAAUUAGCAUUUCCAUGCAAUUACAAUAAACCAGUACUACAAUAAA
Puma concolor (puma) is the source of this 610-nucleotide non-coding RNA. The record is from RefSeq and is a predicted model, not a curated record. Lineage: Eukaryota; Metazoa; Chordata; Mammalia; Carnivora; Felidae.